RNAcentral lists this transfer RNA (75 nucleotides) under Niallia circulans. RNAcentral's name for it is "Bacillus circulans tRNA-Val". It matches the Rfam family "tRNA". Rfam says of the family: Transfer RNA (tRNA) molecules are approximately 80 nucleotides in length. Their secondary structure includes four short double-helical elements and three loops (D, anti-codon, and T loops). Further hydrogen bonds mediate the characteristic L-shaped molecular structure. tRNAs have two regions of fundamental functional importance: the anti-codon, which is responsible for specific mRNA codon recognition, and the 3' end, to which the tRNAs corresponding amino acid is attached (by aminoacyl-tRNA synthetases). tRNAs cope with the degeneracy of the genetic code in two manners: having more than one tRNA (with a specific anti-codon) for a particular amino acid; and 'wobble' base-pairing, i.e. permitting non-standard base-pairing at the 3rd anti-codon position. Lineage: Bacteria; Bacillati; Bacillota; Bacilli; Caryophanales; Bacillaceae. The record is from RNAcentral. RNAcentral also lists the same sequence under 3 other names.
GAGGAUUAGCUCAGCUGGGAGAGCAUCUGCCUUACAAGCAGAGGGUCGGCGGUUCGAUCCCGUCAUCCUCCACCA